CUCUGUUGUUUCCGAAACUCUGAGAGAACCGUGACACUCCUUGAUUACGUUAAAAGACUCGGUGGUCCUUGCUAGUGACAUAGUGGAGCGAUCCUGAAGAAGAGCCGGUUUCCGCAACGACAUGCUAUUUCCUCUAAAACCAUUUUAUGAGAAUAUUCACUUUAUCCUCCUUCUAAGGGAUUCUGACGAAGCCCCGUGUUUUGGAUAAGCAGUGACAGAGUGAGAGUAUUCUUCUAAGCGAGCUUCGUCACUGGAGAUUUGUACCGGCUCGAGAACCUGGUUGGUU
RNAcentral lists this long non-coding RNA (286 nucleotides) under Physcomitrium patens. RNAcentral's name for it is "long non-coding RNA (PPAT_LNC009240)". Lineage: Eukaryota; Viridiplantae; Streptophyta; Bryopsida; Funariales; Funariaceae. The record is from RNAcentral.